Molecule: ribosomal RNA, 264 nt
Filed under: uncultured archaeon
Lineage: Archaea
Description: partial 16S ribosomal RNA
Rfam family: Archaeal small subunit ribosomal RNA
Source: RNAcentral
ACACGACUACAUUAGAUACCCCUGUAGUCCAGGGUGUAAACGCUGCAGACUUGGUGUUGGAGGCCCUUUGGGGGCAUUCAGUGCCGGAGAGAAGUUGUUAAGUCUGCUACUUGGGAGUACGUCCGCAAGGAUGAAACUUAAAGGAAUUGGCGGGGGAGCACCGCAACGGGAGGAGCGUGCGGUUUAAUUGGAUUCAACACCGUAAAACUCACCAGGGAAGACUGUUACAUGAAGGCCGAGAUGAAGACUCUGCUAGAUUUUCAG